Molecule: signal recognition particle RNA, 86 nt
Filed under: Candidatus Avidesulfovibrio excrementigallinarum
Lineage: Bacteria; Pseudomonadati; Thermodesulfobacteriota; Desulfovibrionia; Desulfovibrionales; Desulfovibrionaceae
Description: signal recognition particle sRNA small type
Rfam family: Bacterial small signal recognition particle RNA
About the family: The signal recognition particle (SRP) is a universally conserved ribonucleoprotein involved in the co-translational targeting of proteins to membranes. Archaeal SRP consists of a 7S RNA and homologues of the eukaryotic SRP19 and SRP54 proteins.
Source: RNAcentral
ACAGCCGGGCGGCGGCAGCGCCGCCAACCCCGCCAGGUUCGAAAGAAAGCAACGGUAACGGUUGAUGCCGGGUGUCCGGCUACCUG